Molecule: ribosomal RNA, 468 nt
Filed under: uncultured bacterium
Lineage: Bacteria
Description: partial 16S ribosomal RNA
Rfam family: Bacterial small subunit ribosomal RNA
Source: RNAcentral
GACGAACGCUGGCGGCGUGCUUAACACAUGCAAGUCGAACGGAAAGGCCCUGCUUUUGUGGGGUGCUCGAGUGGCGAACGGGUGAGUAACACGUGAGUAACCUGCCCUUGACUUUGGGAUAACUUCAGGAAACUGGGGCUAAUACCGGAUAGGAGCUCCUGCUGCAUGGUGGGGGUUGGAAAGUUUCGGCGGUUGGGGAUGUACUUGCGGCUUAUUAGCUUGUUGGUGGGGUAGUGGCUUACCAAGGCGUUGACGGGUAGCCGGCCUGAGAGGGUGACCGGGAUCAGUGGGACUGGGAUACGGCCCAGACUCCUACGGGAGGCAGCAGUGGGGAAGAUUGCACAAUGGGCGGAAGCCUGAUGCAGCAACGCCGCGGGCGGGAUGACGGCCUUCGGGUUGUAAACCGCUUUCGCCUGUGACGAAGCGUGAGUGACGGUAAUGGGUAAAGAAGCACCGGCUAACUACGUG